CGUGCAGGCGGGUUGGUAAGUCAGAUGUGAAAGCCCUGGGCUCAACCCAGGAAGUGCAUUUGAAACUGCCAUCCUUGAGUAUGGGAGAGGAGAGUGGAAUUCCCAAUGUAGAGGUGAAAUUCGUAGAUAUUGGGGGGAACACCCGUGGCGAAGGCGACUCUCUGGACUAAUACUGACGCUGAGACGCGAAAGCGUGGGGAGCAAACA
RNAcentral lists this ribosomal RNA (207 nucleotides) under uncultured bacterium. Its description in RNAcentral is "partial 16S ribosomal RNA". It matches the Rfam family "Bacterial small subunit ribosomal RNA", at positions 568 to 774 of the family's 1533-position model. The record is from RNAcentral.